UUUUGACAACACUGAUUUCCUUUAUUUUGUAUAAGUACUCAUUAAUAGGAUUGUUGUAUCAUAUGUAUCUUUGUCUGUUUUGCAUUGUUAUAAGGAAUACCUGAGACUGGGUAAUUUAUAAAGAAAGGAGGUUUACUUGCCUCACGGUUUUGCAGGCUAUACAGGCAUGGCAUCCAUAUCUGCCCAACUUCUGGUGAGGCUUCAGAAAGCUUUUACUCAAGGAAGAAGGUGGAAGAGGAGCAGUAGUAUCACAUGGGUAAGGCUGGCCUGUGAGUGAAGUACAGAAGGGAAGAUGAGGAUAAGUCUCAGAACAGAAGGCUCAAAUAAUCAGAUAAAAUUCAUCAGGUUUUGAAUAAACCAUCUUGAAAAUUCAGUAAAUCAGUGAUUCAUAUGAAGCAGGAGGAGGAGGCUCAGUUAGCUAGGAAAAUCUGUGUCCCUACUACUCAGAUUUCUGCCUGUGAUUUACCAUGACAGAAGGCUUGGCAUACGCCAUAUUCAAGGUCUUCAUAUAUCCUGGCAUAAUUUAAGUUAGUUGGCUCUACUCAAACCAGCUUAGGAAAUAAGAGGAAGAAGAAAAGGAAGAAUAACAAGGAAACAGAGAGGAGGAGGAAGAGAAUGUAAGAAUUUGUAGUUAUCAUUAGGUACAACUGGAUCUCGGAAUUUAAGCAAUGUUAUUAGCUUGUACUCCUCAUCCCCUAACUCUGUUCUAUUCUCCGCAUGUUGGCAAUAAACUGUUGGUAAUAUAUCCAAAGCCAAAACAUUUGUUGAUUGAAAAAAUGAUUUAAAAUAAUGCUAACUCUA
This is a non-coding RNA of Macaca mulatta (Rhesus monkey), 801 nucleotides long. The record is from RefSeq and is a predicted model, not a curated record. NCBI's taxonomy places the organism in Eukaryota, Metazoa, Chordata, Mammalia, Primates, Cercopithecidae.